AGCAGCCGCGGUAAUUCCAGCUCCAAUAGCGUAUAUUAAAGUUGUUGCAGUUAAAAAGCUCGUAGUUGAAUUUCGGGGUUAGUAGGUUGGUCAUGCCUCUGGUAUGUACUGGUCUCACUGAUUCCUCCUUCCUGAUGAGCCUUAAUGCCAUUAAUUUGGUGUUUUGGGGAAUUUGGACUGUUACUUUGAAAAAUUAGAGUGUUUAAAGCAAGCUAACGCUUGAAUACAUUAGCAUGGAAUAAUGAAAUAGGACGUUCGAUCCUAUUUUGUUGGUUUCUAGGAUUGACGUAAUGAUUAAUAGGGAUAGUUGGGGGCAUUAGUAUUCAAUUGUCAGAGGUGAAAUUCUUGGAUUUAUUGAAGACUAACUACUGCGAAAGCAUUUGCCAAGGAUGUUUUCAUUAAUACAAGAACGAAAGUUAGGGGAUCGAAGACGAUCAGAUACCGUCGUAG
RNAcentral lists this ribosomal RNA (450 nucleotides) under uncultured Glomeromycotina. Its description in RNAcentral is "SSU rRNA". It matches the Rfam family "Eukaryotic small subunit ribosomal RNA", at positions 569 to 1023 of the family's 1831-position model. Lineage: Eukaryota; Fungi; Glomeromycota. The record is from RNAcentral.